RNAcentral lists this ribosomal RNA (301 nucleotides) under uncultured bacterium. RNAcentral describes it as "partial 16S ribosomal RNA". It matches the Rfam family "Bacterial small subunit ribosomal RNA", at positions 509 to 807 of the family's 1533-position model. The record is from RNAcentral.
CAGUCGCCGCGGGAAUACGGAGGGUGCAAGCGUUAAUCGGAAUUACUGGGCGUAAAGCGGGCGUAGGCGGUUCGUUAAGUCUGUUGUGAAAGCCCCGGGCUCAACCUGGGAAUGGCAAUGGAUACUGGCGAGCUAGAGUGUGUCAGAGGAUGGUGGAAUUCCCGGUGUAGCGGUGAAAUGCGUAGAUAUCGGAAGGAACACCAGUGGCGAAGGCGGCUACCUGGACUGAGACUGACACUGAGGCGCGAGAGCGUGGGGAGCAAACAGGAUUAGAUACCCCCGUAGUCCCUGUCUCUUAUAC